GAGCAGAGCAUAAACAUGUUGAAUGUGCCUCAGUGCUGUCUAAACCAGCCCAGAAUACUAACCAAGGAGCUGCAAUAGAGCUAAAAAUAACCACCUAAUCACCACUAGGAAGAAUUAACAAGGACUCAGAAGAAAAGAAAAUGCCUUAAUAUUCCAUUUCUCUACAGCUGGGCUCCAGCUGGUGCAAACGCAUCUUCCUAGCUUCCUUAGGACAGAGAAGUUCCCUCCCCUAACACACAGGCAUCUCAUUCUGGAAGCAUUUCUAGAGUCAUGCCCUGGGAUUGUAUUGAAAUGAGGCCUUCCUGGCAGUGAUGGUUUUGGGACUGGGAAGAAGGUGGAGCCCUGGUAAAAUGAAGUCUGCCUUGGAGGAGAGCAUGGGAGGAAACCAUGAAAGAGUUUGCUAC
Erinaceus europaeus (western European hedgehog) is the source of this 404-nucleotide long non-coding RNA. RefSeq lists it as uncharacterized. The transcript is spliced from 3 exons. The record is from RefSeq and is a predicted model, not a curated record. Lineage: Eukaryota; Metazoa; Chordata; Mammalia; Eulipotyphla; Erinaceidae.